Pongo abelii (Sumatran orangutan) is the source of this 126-nucleotide small nuclear RNA. The record is from Ensembl. NCBI's taxonomy places the organism in Eukaryota, Metazoa, Chordata, Mammalia, Primates, Hominidae.
ACCAUCCUUUUCUUGGAGUUGCACUACUGUCUAAUGAGUGCAUAAUGAGGGCAGUAUUGCUAAUGCCUAUACAAUGCACCUGCAUCAACUAGAACUUCGCUUUAACUUUGUACAAUUUUUGGAAAA